Molecule: ribosomal RNA, 433 nt
Filed under: uncultured bacterium
Lineage: Bacteria
Description: partial 16S ribosomal RNA
Rfam family: Bacterial small subunit ribosomal RNA
Source: RNAcentral
GACGAACGCUGGCGGCAUGCCUAACACAUGCAAGUCGAACGAGACCUCCGGGCCUAGUGGCGCUCGGGUGCGUAACGAGUGGGAACCUGCCCUUAGGUUCGGUACAACUCCCUGUAAGGGGUGCUAAGAACGGAGAAUGUCUUAGGACCAAGGAUUUAUCGCCGUUGGAUGGGCCCGCGUUGGUUUAGCCAGUUGGUAGUGUAAAAGCCUACCAAGGCGUCGUUCCAUAGCUGGUCGGGGAGGAUGAUCCGCCACACUGGGACUGAGACCCGGCCCAGACUCGUACGGAAGGCAGGAGUGGGGUAUAUUGGACGAUGGGCGAUAGCCUGACCCAGCAAUGCCGCGUGAGUGAUGAAGGCCUUAGGGUUGUAAAGCUCUUUUACCCGGGAUGAUAAUGACAGUACCGGGAGAAUAAGCACCGGCUAACUCCGUG